UCAUUUAGAGGAAAGAGAAGCUGUAACAAGGUUUCCAUAGGUGAACCUGCGGAAGGAUCAUUGCCGAGACUCGACGAGCCAAACCCGCGAACACGUGAACUCAUCGCGCGCUGGAGCAUGUGCGGCCCCACCAACCUGCUCCGGUGCCAUCGCCCGAACCCCUGUGUCAUCGAGACUAGCGACUGUGGGGCGGUGGGAGGACCGAACCCAGCGCGGAUGGCGCCAAGGAACCUUGAGCGUGGAGGCACGCCUUCCGCCCCGCCCCUUGCUUGCACAGGGCCGGCAUCGCAGGGUACCACCGAUGGCAAAGCCUCUGGGCUUUCACGGUAUGACUCUAGGCAACGGAUAUCUCGGCUCUCGCAUUGACGAAGAACGUAGUGAAAUGCGAUACGUGGUGCGAAUUGCAGAAUCCCGCGAACCAUUGAGUCUUCGAACGCAAGUUGCGCCUAAGGCCAUCCGAUCGAGGGCAUGCCUGCCUGGGCGCCAACCGAAGCGGCGCUCCACUCCCCCGGGUUCCCUAUGGUCCUCAGGGGUUGCUGAACGUGGACGAUGGCCCCCCACGCUGAGCGUGCGUGGCAUGCCAAAGAUUGGGCCAUAGGCUAGGCUGGAUGCGGCGGGUGGUGGACGCGCCCGCGAUCUCAUCGCCGUGCCUCCGAACCCCAGCCCUUAGGGCCCGCAUCACCCAGGAUUGCCAGCAUCGCCAAAGACCCGGUCCAGGGCGUCUCCCUUAAAAUCCAACCCCAGGUCAGGCGGGGCCACCCGCUGAGCUUAAGCAUAUC
RNAcentral lists this unclassified non-coding RNA (779 nucleotides) under Calamus thysanolepis. RNAcentral describes it as "partial contains small subunit ribosomal RNA, internal transcribed spacer 1, 5.8S ribosomal RNA, internal transcribed spacer 2, and large subunit ribosomal RNA". The stretch from base 331 to 486 matches the Rfam family "5.8S ribosomal RNA". Lineage: Eukaryota; Viridiplantae; Streptophyta; Magnoliopsida; Arecales; Arecaceae. The record is from RNAcentral.